RNAcentral lists this transfer RNA (73 nucleotides) under Intellagama lesueurii (Eastern water dragon). RNAcentral's name for it is "tRNA-Gln". The record is from RNAcentral. Lineage: Eukaryota; Metazoa; Chordata; Lepidosauria; Squamata; Agamidae.
AUAGGGGAAGAGGAAUCAAACCUCCGUUUAAAAAUUCAAAAUUUUCAGUAUUCUCAUCUUAUACUACCCCCUA